UAAUGGUGAUGGAUGGCCACGGAGCUGCCUCAUCUCAGCGGCUCCUGCCAAGGCUGCUAGGGGUUUGGCGGAGGAACAUUCCUUCUGCUUCCUGAGGUAGGAGCUGAGCACUGCAGGUAGGAGGGAGGCAAAUGGUGAGUUCUUCAGCGUUCUGCUUGAUCUCCUGGAAUGCCACCUAGGAAAAGCUGGAAUGGGCAAUGCUGGCACAGAAGUCUCUACUCUAUCCACGUUCUCAGGGACACCAGGUUAAAUCACAAGCCAUGCAAAGGACACGGUGUCUGUCUCAGCGUCUGCCUCUCAGGAAGUGCUGCUGUGGCUCCCAGGUUCUGAGCCCCCGGCAGGAGGGCCCCUGGAAACCUUAACGAAGUCUGGCACAGUCGUUGUACAGUGGAAGAAAAUUCAUUGAAGAGAAUCUGAGCGUUCAUGGACGCUCUGGAGAAUUCUCUGGAAUUGAUCACAGUGACGGCAGCCACAACUCGGGGAGGCAGUGCAUCCCUGCAGGACCACGGCCUCAAUCUUCUCCAUGGAAAAAAGAAACAUUUUCCUGCUGGUGACUGAGAUGUCUGGCUCUUUCCUCUUUCCUCACAAGCGCUUAUCUCUAAGCCUGAAGGGAUUUGCAAAGUUGAAGGCAAGCAGCGUGCAGUAUUGUAGUUACAAGGGAGAGACAAAGUGACUGAGAAACAGGAUAAUCCCACCUUAUCUGUCAGGCAUUAAAAGUGCCAUUUCCAAAGAGGAGGCACAAAUGAGUCCUCUGAACGGAUUUUGACAUCCGCUCUUCACCACAGAUCAGAGAAUAUCAUUCACGAUCAUUUACUGAUCUUGGUUUUGUAAGAUAUGUGAGCCUGGAGGGUAUAUUCUAUUCCUUUUAGGAAAAACAGUAUAAUUUGCUGUCCUUUAAGAGCUAUUUUAGAACUUGGAUAAAAUAUUCGAAUGAGGCUAUUCUCUUAAUUAGAGAACAUUAUUGGUUUAUCUGUUUACUACUUUAUGCCAAAAAUAGAACCAGUCCCGUGAACAAUGGAAAACCGAAUGAGAAGGUCUGCCUUCCAAAUGAUGAUAUUUGAUUAGGGGAGACAGACAACACACAUCAACGUUAACAUUAGAAAUUAUAAAUAAGGGGGGCCUGGGUGGCUCAGUCAGUUAAGCGUCUGCCUCUUGAUUUCAGCUCAGGUCAUGAUCUCAGGGCGCUGAGAUGGAGCCUGGUGAGCCCUUCUGGUUCGGGACAGAGUCGGCUUGUUUCUGUCCCUCUGCCCCUCCCCCCUGCUCACUCCAGCAUGCUCUCUUCCUCUCUUUCCCUAAAAUAAAUAAGUAAAAUCUCAAAGUAAAAGAAGCUAUAAAUGGAAUGCAGACCCUCAGAGGGAAGGUGCUUAUUGGGUGGAUGGGCGAGCCGGCUCUGGCACAAGGCACCCUAGAGCUGGGCAUGGAAGGAAAGGCAGAAUCCCCAGAGGCCCAGUCUGGUGUCUCAAGCAGGACGGUGCACUCAGGGGCCAGUGCGAGGCUGGGGGAGGGGUGGAGGGCAGGCCGAGCAGGGUGCGAGAUACGGGUGGGCACUGGGGAUAAGCUCAGAGAUGCUGGUCAGGACCCAGUCCUGGAGGGAUGAGAACAUUGGAACCCCGA
Long non-coding RNA from Neogale vison (American mink), 1614 nucleotides. RefSeq lists it as uncharacterized. NCBI's taxonomy places the organism in Eukaryota, Metazoa, Chordata, Mammalia, Carnivora, Mustelidae. The transcript is spliced from 4 exons. The record is from RefSeq and is a predicted model, not a curated record.